Non-coding RNA from Grammomys surdaster, 186 nucleotides. RefSeq annotates it as small Cajal body-specific RNA 16. Lineage: Eukaryota; Metazoa; Chordata; Mammalia; Rodentia; Muridae. The record is from RefSeq and is a predicted model, not a curated record. The transcript has a single exon.
ACGGUCUGGGAAAAGGCUCCUGUGUGGUUGAACCUGCCCGAGGUGGGUGCAGCCCUGUACCAGACAGCCCGACCUUGACCUAGAGUAUGACCUCGGAGGAACAUCUCCCUGGGGUUAGAAUUUGCAGUAACAGGUGUGAACAUCUUAGCAGCAGUUUGAUGGUCAUGUAUGAUACUGCAAACAAGA